GACCAGAUGUACAGAGCUGCGGUUGCCCAUCCAGUCACGAUCCUGACCCACACAGAUGGCCACCCAACAUCCACCAAUCUCCCACUCUCACCAACUGAGGUCGACCACCCUGUCAGGAGCAUAGCUGAAUACAUGCUUGCAAGAGAGAAGAUGAUGUGGAAGAAGGUAUAUGAGUAUGUGACUGGCUUAGCCUCGUGUUUUUCUUCAGGCACAUCCGUCUUUUCCAGUGGAAGCAAAGGCUUUCCAGCACCUUUAUGAGUAAAAGGAGAGUGUUAGUUCUGAAAGAGCAGACAAAAAAAAAAAAAAAAAGCCUAAAAAUGGGUGAGUCCCUUACAACUUUGUAUAACCUAAAUGUGAAAUAAUGAUUUUUUUUUUCCUGAUCAAUUGUCCCAGAGAAUAGAUGUCUUUUUUUUCACUAAAACUAUAGGAGUCAAAAGCUGCAAGAGAUCUUUAAUUUUCUUAUCUUGAAGUAAACAAAGAUUCAGAGACAAAAGAUAAAACAUUUGUAGAUACAUAAACAAAAUAUCCCCCUCUGAAACCUUCUGAAGUGAAAGAUCAAAAUCACUACUGUAAUUUGAAACUAAUGAUUUACAAAGCACAGAAGAAAAACGCAACGCAAAUCAGUAGCUCAUGAAGAGAGACCAUGAAAAUUUUGAGAGAGAUUCUACAAGGUUUGAAAUGAAGUAUGAAUAUUCAGGAGAUAUUUUCAGUAUUUUUUAACUUUCCUGAGAAAAAGGUUAUCAAUAGAGAGAAAAUACUGCAAGUAACAAAAAGAUGCCCAUGGGUUGUUUUGUGCAUAUUAGAGAUCUUUUGUGCUCAGAUUGGUCUGGAUGGGUUGUUUUUCUUUUGUUCACCCACUGGGCUUUCUAUCUCUCUCAUGUAUUGCACAUACACACACAUGCAUUUACACGCCAUUUAAGUGCAGCACCUUCUGUAUUAACAUAAAUAUUCAUCUCUCAAGCCUCUUUAUAAUUACCUAAUAAACAGUGUUAUCAAUAUGCUAUAUUCCAAUUCUAUUGCCUUCCUAUGUUAUAAUUCUCACUCUGGUUAUGUAUCUUCUACAAUAAAUAAUCCUUUUUAGAAGUACCAUAGAGCCUUGCAGGCUUGCACUCUUAAUUGCCAAAGUCUACAACAAACCAAGAGACUCAAAAGUGACACUGGUCUUGUCACAGGCUGCUCCAAUCUUUGCACAACCAUGGUAUCAGCAAUAUACGACACCUAGCUCACAAAGUAGGUGUCAUAGAGUGCUCCAUGCAUGCUGCACAUGCUCAUUGGCAAUGUGUCAUGCCCAAAUGGAUGAUGAAACAUUUAGGUUCUUUAUGAAUCUAAAAGCAAAUUUUAUGGGUUCCCAAACAUUUUAUGGAAGGUUAACAUUCAUUUACUUCUUGGAUCACCAUCAGCACAUCAACUAAAAGGAGUCUCUGCAUCCACAUUCCAUAGAAUAGUGUGCAAAGUCAACAUUCAUAAGAGGAUUUAUAUUUUUGUAUGAAUUCUAACCUGCACGUGGUGAACUUGGUGGGGAGAGAAGAGUUGUUGAAGAACCAGCACGAACAGCAGAGUAGAUAACCGACAGAAUAGUGGUCAGCAGUCCCAAGGUAAGGGUGCCAGUGGAAACAGCUUUAGAGUGCUUGUGAAGGCCAUUGCAUUCAUAAUCCCUGGGCUCACUGGAAAGCCCACUGUAGCAGAGGUACAUGC
RNAcentral lists this long non-coding RNA (1695 nucleotides) under Vitis vinifera (wine grape). RNAcentral describes it as "long non-coding RNA (VVIN_LNC002986)". The record is from RNAcentral. Lineage: Eukaryota; Viridiplantae; Streptophyta; Magnoliopsida; Vitales; Vitaceae.